AUGCCCCCGCCCAGCCACAACCAUGUGUUUGGCAGCAAGGGGACCGGCGAGCCACGCGCCCCCCCAGCCCGGCGCCCCACAGCCCCCAUGUGGGCACCCCGCUCAGAGGCACAGAGUGGGAGGUCGGGACCCCACGGGCUGCCCUGCCCUGGGCCAGAGGCGGAACACGGGCCAGCAGGAGUCCGUCGGGCCAGGGGAGAAGUGGACAGCAGAGCGGCGGGGCCCAGGUUACCGCCCUACACGCACCUAAUCACUCCUUCCCUUCCCCCCCGCCACUAUGAUCCACCCUGGGAAACUGAGGCCCCCUGGCUGGUCAGCCCCGUGAGCGCUGGUGAAGCUGCCCGCGUGCAGGAGGAGUCCGUGUCCAGCGGGCCGGCGGGGGUGCUCCUCUGCCUGGCGCUCUGCAUACACCCGGCCCGGGGCCUCCCCGCACCCCCACCUGCCGGCCGGCGCUCCCCUCCCUCCUGGCAUCGCCCACACCCCGUGGUCAGGCACAGCCCUCCCCAGCGGGCCGCAGGGCACCCUCAGCGUCGGCCACCUAACCAGCCACCAGUGAUGGGGGUGAUGCCCGGAGGUCACAUGCCGACAGGUGACUGGUCCUCGCUGCCCCCAUGGUCAUUGCCACCAACGGACACAGCAGCGCUCAGGACGUGCGGCCCCGGGCUGAAGGGACUGCUGCACACUCUGCAGCCCUGAGCUUCUGGCCUCCGAACACCUGCCCCACGCCCGCGGCCUCAGCACACAGGCUCCUCAGGACUGCCCUGCCCUCCGCUUUCCAAACCCACACUGCUCUGGACACAGGGCCCUCCAGCUCCGGUGCAACAGAGAAGAGCCUGGUCCUUCCAAGCAGAACCUCCACGUGGUGGGAAGGGGAGAUGCCAGAGGACUGCAAGGAAUCCCAGCUCUUGGAAGGCCAGAGGAGAGCAGGAUGUGCAAGGGUCUGUGUGCACACAUGUGUAUAAGUGGGGUGUGAGUGCAGGUGUCUGUGUGUGGGGGUGUAGGUUGUGUGUGCAUGUGUUGGGGGAGUGGAGGGUGUGGGUAUAUGCAUGUGGGUCUAGUGAGCCAUGGGUGUGUAGGCAUGCAUGUGUGAGCAUACAUGGUUGUGGGUGUGCACAUGGGUGUGCAUACGUGUAUGUGGGUGUGGGUGUGCGCAUGCAUGCAUGUGGUUGUGUGUGUGCAUGUGUGUGUGGUUGGGGGUGUGCGCAUGCGUGUGUGCACGCAUGUGGGUGGGUGUGCACAUGCAUGUAUGUGGUUGUGGGUGUGCAUUGUGUAUGUGGGGGAUGCCUUCCCUGUUGCUUUUAUAGUUUUCAUUUCACUGAUUUCUGUUCUUGUCUUCCUGUUGCUUUUAUAGUUUUCAUUUCACUGAUUUCUGUUCUUGUCGUUUCUACCUCCUUCUGCUUGCUCUCGGGUCAUUUUGCUCUUUGGUUGUAGGUUCUUGAGCUUGAGUCCUGUGGCUCAGAUUAUUGAUUUAAGACUUUUCUCCUAUAUGAAAAAUCUCCCAGUAAGCACUGUUCUCACUGCUUCCAACAAAUUUUGAUAAUUUUCAUUUUCAUUUGGUUUGAAAUAUUUUGCAGUUUCUCUGGAGUCUUCUUUGAUUUAUGGAUUAUUGAAAGCACGUUCCUUACUCUCCAUAUAUUUGGGGAUUUUUCCAUCCAUUUCCCUGUUAUUCACUUCAAGUUUAAUUCCUCUGUUGUCU
Molecule: long non-coding RNA, 1696 nt
Filed under: Vulpes vulpes (red fox)
Lineage: Eukaryota; Metazoa; Chordata; Mammalia; Carnivora; Canidae
Description: lncRNA (ENSVVUG00000001688.1)
Source: RNAcentral